This 468-nucleotide ribosomal RNA is filed under the name uncultured bacterium. RNAcentral's name for it is "partial 16S ribosomal RNA". It matches the Rfam family "Bacterial small subunit ribosomal RNA", at positions 28 to 507 of the family's 1533-position model. The record is from RNAcentral.
GACGAACGCUGGCGGCGUGCUUAACACAUGCAAGUCGAACGGUGAGGCCCUGAUCUUGUGGUGUGCUCGAGUGGCGAACGGGUGAGUAACACGUGAGUAUCCUGCCCUUUACUUCGGGAGAACUUCAGGGAACUCGGGCUAUAAUCCGGCAGGAGCUUCGGCUGCACGGUGGAUGUUGGAGAGAUUCGCCGGUUGGGGAUGACCUCGCGGCCCUGCGGCUUGUUGGUUGGGUGGUGGCUUACCCAGGCAUUGAGGGGUGGCCGGCCUGAGAGGGUGACCGGCCACAUUCGGACUGAGGUGCCGCCCGUACGCCUUCGGCAGCCAGCAGUGCGGAAUUGUGCAAGCUGGGCGGAAGCCGUAUGCAGCAUCGCCGCGUGCUGGAUGACGGCCUUCGGGUUGUAAACCGCGUUCGCCUGCGACGAAGCGUGUGUGACGGUAAUGUGUAAGGAAGCGCCGGCUAACUACGUG